AAGAAAGGUGGCAGAAAAGUGCCCCAGAUUUAAGCCCUGACCAUGAAGUUUUACUUCCCUUCCUA
Molecule: transfer RNA, 65 nt
Filed under: Utterbackia imbecillis (paper pondshell)
Lineage: Eukaryota; Metazoa; Mollusca; Bivalvia; Unionida; Unionidae
Description: tRNA-Leu
Source: RNAcentral